Molecule: ribosomal RNA, 252 nt
Filed under: uncultured bacterium
Lineage: Bacteria
Description: partial 16S ribosomal RNA
Rfam family: Bacterial small subunit ribosomal RNA
Source: RNAcentral
UACGUAGGCAGCAAGCGUUGUUCGGAGUUACUGGGCGUAAAGAGUGCGUAGGCGGUUUCGUAAGUUUGGUGUGAAAUCUCCCGGCUUAACUGGGAGGGUGCGCCGAAAACUGCGGGGCUGGAGUGUGGGAGAGGUAAGCGGAAUUCCCGGUGUAGCGGUGAAAUGCGUAGAUAUGGGAGGAACACCAGCGGUGUAGACGGCUUACUGGACCAUGACUGACGCUGAGGCACGAAAGCGUGGGGAGCAAACAGG